RNAcentral lists this ribosomal RNA (425 nucleotides) under uncultured bacterium. RNAcentral's name for it is "partial 16S ribosomal RNA". It matches the Rfam family "Bacterial small subunit ribosomal RNA", at positions 354 to 796 of the family's 1533-position model. The record is from RNAcentral.
GUGGGGAAUAUUGGACAAUGGGCGCAAGCCUGAUCCAGCCAUGCCGCGUGAGUGAUGAAGGCCUUAGGGUUGUAAAGCUCUUUCAGUAGGGAAGAUAAUGACGGUACCUACAGAAGAAGCCCCGGCUAACUUCGUGCCAGCAGCCGCGGUAAUACGAAGGGGGCUAGCGUUGUUCGGAUUUACUGGGCGUAAAGCGCACGUAGGCGGUUUGUUAAGUCAGAGGUGAAAUCCCGGAGCUCAACUCCGGAACUGCCUUUGAUACUGGCAAGCUAGAGUCCGGAAGAGGUAAGUGGAACUCCUAGUGUAGAGGUGGAAUUCGUAGAUAUUAGGAAGAACACCAGUGGCGAAGGCGGCUUACUGGUCCGGAACUGACGCUGAGGUGCGAAAGCGUGGGGAGCAAACAGGAUUAGAAACCCGUGUAGUCC